Molecule: transfer RNA, 73 nt
Filed under: Listeria monocytogenes
Lineage: Bacteria; Bacillati; Bacillota; Bacilli; Caryophanales; Listeriaceae
Description: tRNA-Lys
Rfam family: tRNA
About the family: Transfer RNA (tRNA) molecules are approximately 80 nucleotides in length. Their secondary structure includes four short double-helical elements and three loops (D, anti-codon, and T loops).
Source: RNAcentral
GGGUUGUUAGCUCAGUUGGUAGAGCAGCUGACUCUUAAUCAGCGGGUCGGGGGUUCAAAACCCUCACAACCCA